RNAcentral lists this long non-coding RNA (359 nucleotides) under Panax ginseng (ginseng). RNAcentral's name for it is "long non-coding RNA (PGIN_LNC011144)". Lineage: Eukaryota; Viridiplantae; Streptophyta; Magnoliopsida; Apiales; Araliaceae. The record is from RNAcentral.
AAAUAUUGCGGAAGAUAUAAACAUAAAUUGUUUAUACAUUAAACUUUUACACAUCAUUUCCAAGGUCUACAACCUUAACUUAACACAUACCUUCAAUAUCGUAGAAGAUUUACAAUACUAUUUUCAUCAGAAAAUUUAAUAAAUUUAACUACAACAUAAAGAAACUUUGCACUUUGUCUUUGCCUCUGUCCUUAUUCAAGUCUUCAUCUUAAUCUGAAAAUUUUAUCAUGAUAUAGCAAGGGUGAGCAACAAAUUUGCCCAGCAAGUUUUACAUACAAAGGAGAUAUAUCAUGAUUGAAAAGAAUGGAUAAGCUUUCAAGUUUUCAACAAUAUAAUAAUUGUGAAAUAACAUGAAUCAA